AUGAACCUGCUACUGAUUUUCCUGUUCAUGCUGGAGGCCCCUUCAGGUGUCCUCUCCCAAGUGCAGCUGCGGGAAACAGGCCCGGGAGUGGUGAAACCCGGGGAGUCCCUGACAGUCACUUGUACCAUCUCCGGAGACUCGGUUUCUAGCGACAGCGCGGCCUGGCACUGGUUCCGGCAGCCCGCAGGGAAAGGGCCGGAAUGGAUGGGACGCACAUGGUAUAGGUCUGGCAUGUGGAACACUGAGUACCCCAGCUCUGUGCAGAGUCGAGUGAUCAUCACACAAGACACUUCCAAGAACCAGUUUUCCCUGCAGCUCCGCUCGCUGACAGCUGCAGACACCGCCACCUAUUACUGUGUGAGGCAGCCACACACACACAGUGACACAGAGCAGAGCGGGACUGGUGCCCGUUCCCAAAUCCAUCUGGUCCAGUCCGGACCGGGCGCGGUGAAGCCCGGAGAGACCCUCUCACUGACCUGCACCAUGUCUGGUUACUCCAUUUCCUCUGGCUACGACUGGAUCUGGAUCCGGCAGGCUCCUGGGGAAGGCUUAGAUUAG
Terrapene triunguis (Three-toed box turtle) is the source of this 558-nucleotide non-coding RNA. NCBI's taxonomy places the organism in Eukaryota, Metazoa, Chordata, Testudines, Emydidae. The record is from the annotation of a RefSeq genome assembly.